RNAcentral lists this long non-coding RNA (200 nucleotides) under Capsella grandiflora. RNAcentral's name for it is "long non-coding RNA (CGRA_LNC000572)". Lineage: Eukaryota; Viridiplantae; Streptophyta; Magnoliopsida; Brassicales; Brassicaceae. The record is from RNAcentral.
AGAGAAUGGAGAAGGAGAAGACGAAGGAUUUAUCGACGGAGAAAGGACGAGAAGAGAACGUGAGGGAGAGAAGGAGGAAGCCUCAAUCGUGUUCGCCGGAGUGGUAACGGAGCCGAAUUCCAAAGUACCCAACCGUAACAAAACUCGUUUUCCCUUGAAGAUUCUUCUCUGGGAUCGGAGGCUAAAAGUCUCCGUCGUUA